CGCCUCUUGAUUAAACAUGAGAGGUCCAGCCUGCCCGGUGACAUAGUUUAACGGCCGCGGUACCCUAACCGUGCGAAGGUAGCAUAAUCACUUGUUCUUUAAAUAGGGACUCGUAUCAACGGCAUCACGAGGGCUAUACUGUCUCCUUUCUCCAAUCAAUGAAACUGAUCUCCCCGUGAAGAAGCGGGGAUUGACCUAUAAGACGAGAAGACCCCAUGGAGCUUCAAACUCAACAUACACCUCUACGCACCUAAAUCACUUUAGCCCAAGAGAUCUGUCUGUUAGUUUUGGGUUGGGGGGACCGCGGAGUAAAAAUUAACCUCCACGACAAACGGGCCUAACGCCCUUAUCCACGAACUACAACUCUAAGAAUCAAUAAACUGAUGUUUAUGACCCGAUUAUUCGAUCAACGAACCAAGUUACCCUGGGGAUAACAGCGCAAUCUACUUCAAGAGCCCCUAUCGACAAGUAGGUUUACGACCUCGAUGUUGGAUCAGGGUAUCCUAGUGGUGCAGCCGCUACUAAAGGUUCGUUUGUUCAACGAUUAAAACCCU
This 554-nucleotide ribosomal RNA is filed under the name Pelophylax porosus porosus (Tokyo dharma pond frog). RNAcentral's name for it is "partial 16S ribosomal RNA". It matches the Rfam family "Bacterial large subunit ribosomal RNA", at positions 1832 to 2597 of the family's 2925-position model. The record is from RNAcentral. Lineage: Eukaryota; Metazoa; Chordata; Amphibia; Anura; Ranidae.